GACGAACGCUGGCGGCGUGCCUAAUACAUGCAAGUUGAGCGCUGAAGGUUGGUACUUGUACCAACUGGAUGAGCAGCGAAUGGGUGAGUAACGCGUGGGGAAUCUGCCUUUGAGCGGGGGACAACAUUUGGAAACGAAUGCUAAUACCGCAUAAAAACUUUAAACACAAGUUUUAAGUGUGAAAGAUGCAAUUGCAUCACUCAAAGAUGAUCCCGCGUUGUAUUAGCUAGUUGGUGAGGUAAAGGCUCACCAAGGCGAUGAUACAUAGCCGACCUGAGAGGGUGAUCGGCCACAUUGGGACGUGGACACGGCCCAAACUCCUACGGGAGGCAGCAGUAGGGAAUCUUCGGCAAUGGACGAAAGUCUGACCGAGCAACGCCGCGUGAGUGAAGAAGGUUCUCGGAUCGUAAAACUCUGUUGGUAGAGAAGAACGUUGGUGAGAGUGGAAAGCUCAUCAAGUGACGGUAACUACCCAGAAAGGGACGGCUAACUACGUG
RNAcentral lists this ribosomal RNA (497 nucleotides) under uncultured bacterium. RNAcentral's name for it is "partial 16S ribosomal RNA". It matches the Rfam family "Bacterial small subunit ribosomal RNA", at positions 28 to 507 of the family's 1533-position model. The record is from RNAcentral.